AGUAUCUGACUGUCUUCUCUCAGAUGAUUGCAUUUCAUGAUCCAGAGCUGAGUAAUCAUCUCAAUGAGAUUGGCUUCAUUCCAGAUCUCUAUGCCAUCCCUUGGUUUCUUACCAUGUUUACUCAUGUAUUUCCACUACACAAAAUUUUCCACCUCUGGGAUACCUUACUACUUGGGAAUUCCUCUUUCCCAUUCUGUAUUGGAGUAGCAAUUCUUCAGCAGCUGCGGGACCGGCUUUUGGCUAAUGGCUUUAAUGAGUGCAUUCUUCUCUUCUCCGAUUUACCAGAAAUUGACAUUGAACGCUGUGUGAGAGAAUCUAUCAACCUGUUUUGUUGGACUCCUAAAAGUGCUACUUACAGACAGCAUGCUCAACCUCCAAAGCCAACUUCUGACAGCAGUGGAGUCAGAAGUUCGGCACCUUAUUUCUCUGCUGAGUGUCCGGAUCCUCCAAAGACAGAUCUGUCAAGAGAAUCCAUCCCAUUAAAUGACCUAAAGUCAGAAGUAUCACCACGGAUUUCAGCA
Molecule: small RNA, 521 nt
Filed under: Pongo abelii (Sumatran orangutan)
Lineage: Eukaryota; Metazoa; Chordata; Mammalia; Primates; Hominidae
Description: processed transcript
Source: RNAcentral